This 265-nucleotide ribosomal RNA is filed under the name uncultured archaeon. RNAcentral describes it as "partial 16S ribosomal RNA". It matches the Rfam family "Archaeal small subunit ribosomal RNA", at positions 719 to 982 of the family's 1478-position model. The record is from RNAcentral.
AGUCACUGACAUUAGAUACCCGGGUAGUCCCAGCCGUAAACUAUGCGCGUUAGGUGUAUCGGUGACCACGAGUUACCGAGGUGCCGAAGGGAAACCGUGAAACGUGCCGCCUGGGAAGUACGGUCGCAAGGCUGAAACUUAAAGGAAUUGGCGGGGGAGCACAACAACGGGUGGAGCCUGCGGUUUAAUUGGACUCAACGCCGGACAACUCACCGGGAACGACAGCAAUAUGUAGGCCAGGCUGAAGACCUUGCCUGAAUCGCUG